RNAcentral lists this transfer RNA (88 nucleotides) under Diaporthe helianthi. It matches the Rfam family "tRNA". Rfam says of the family: Transfer RNA (tRNA) molecules are approximately 80 nucleotides in length. Their secondary structure includes four short double-helical elements and three loops (D, anti-codon, and T loops). The record is from Rfam by way of RNAcentral. Lineage: Eukaryota; Fungi; Ascomycota; Sordariomycetes; Diaporthales; Diaporthaceae.
GGUGCUGUCGUCCAGAGGUUUAGGACGUUGGAUUGUGGUCUAAUACGUCAACUCUCCAAAGACCAAGGUUCGAAUCCUUGCAGCGCCA